UAGAAAGAGCAAGAAUUUGGCUGAAAAUAAUCAGGAUCCAUUUGAUGAUGUAACAGAUAAUAUAAAGAGAGCAUUGAACAAACAGACUAAGGGCGACUUCUGUCGUGGUUUACACAAAAUCAAAAUUGAUCGUUUUGUUGAUGAGUUGUUGCAUCUAAUUUUACUCUUUUUGAAAAAUGCACAAGGAAAACAGUUACACCAUCCCUUAGCUGAGUACAUCAACAAGAAGCUUGAACAAGAUGGUUGUACUCUUAUUGAAGAUCUUAGAGAGAACUUACCAGAUGAAGUUACUGUGGCACAUGCUGUUGAUGCUUGGAGGCUUGCAUAUGAGAAAAGCGACUACCACUCAAACUAUUCUUGAUUAUGUCCACAAUGGAAGAUGGAGUCUUUUUUUAAGCUAAUACAUGGCACUUAAAAUCUCAUUCACAUUUAUAUUAAACUAGGGUGCAUCAUACAACAGUAGUUAAUAAAAUAGAAAGAAGCACAAGCCAAUGUAAAACGCAUGUGUAGUUUAUUUGUUAAAAUGAAAAUAUUUAAUUCAUUACUAUUUGACGACCAAUUAUGUAACAAUCAAUCUUUUUGCACUAAUACAUAUUUUAAACUGUAAAAACUUUUUAUUGCCAGUUUUUCUUUAUUUUUAUUGAAUUUCGUUAUGCAUCGUACACCAGUCCUUUCUUUCAUUUUUCCAUUUGCAGGAAAGUCAUCUUCGAGCAAUGCAAUAUAUUCCUAAUAUCAUAAAUAUUAAAUGUUUUCUUUUUGAAAAGUUUCAUCGUCGCUUAGAUCGAAGCGAAGCUGAAAAGUUCACCGUUGAACUUCUAUAUAAAAGAGGCCGGAAGAAAAACAACAUGUCAAGGCUUUAAUCCAUAGCUUCAUUUUGGCUUGGAAAACCAUUAGAA
Long non-coding RNA from Xenia sp. Carnegie-2017, 896 nucleotides. RefSeq lists it as uncharacterized. The record is from RefSeq and is a predicted model, not a curated record. NCBI's taxonomy places the organism in Eukaryota, Metazoa, Cnidaria, Anthozoa, Malacalcyonacea, Xeniidae. The transcript is spliced from 4 exons.